GGCAGACGGGUGAGUAACGCGUAAGUAACCUACCCUUAAGCGGGGGACAACUCAGGGAAACUUGAGCUAAUACCGCAUAAGACCACGGGCUGAGAUGCCAGUGGGAAAAGGAGCAAUCCACUUAAGGAUGGGCCUGCGGCCUAUCAGGUAGUUGGUGAGGUAACGGCCCACCAAGCCAGAGACGGGUAGCCGGACUGAGAGGUUGAACGGUCACACUGGAACUGAGAUACGGUCCAGACUCCUACGGGAGGCAGCAGUGGGGAAUAUUGCACAAUGGGGGAAACCCUGAUGCAGCGACGCCGCGUGGAGGAUGAAGGUCUUCGGGUUGUAAACUCCUUUUCUUGGGAAAGAUAAUGACGGUACCCAAGGAAUAAGCCACGGCUAACUCUGUGCCAGCAGCCGCGGUAAGACAGAGGUGGCGAGCGUUGUUCGGAAUUACUGGGCUUAAAGGGCGAGUAGGCGGUGGAGCAAGUCUGAGGUGGAAUCUUAGAGCUUAACCCUAAAACUGCCUUAGAAACUGUUUUACUUGAGUCAGUGAGGGGAGGGCGGAAUUCCUGGUGUAGCGGUGAAAUGCGUAGAUAUCAGGAGGAAGGCCUGUGGCGAAGGCGGCCCUCUGGCACUGUACUGACGCUGAGGCGCGAAAGCGUGGGUAGCAAACAGGAUUAGAUACCCUGGUAGUCCACGCCCUAAACGGUGGGCAUUAGGUGUAGGGCUCGUAAGGGUUCUGUGCCGAAGGGAAACCAUUAAAUGCCCCGCCUGGGAGUACGGCCGCAAGG
RNAcentral lists this ribosomal RNA (776 nucleotides) under uncultured bacterium. RNAcentral's name for it is "bacterial SSU rRNA". It matches the Rfam family "Bacterial small subunit ribosomal RNA", at positions 97 to 893 of the family's 1533-position model. The record is from RNAcentral.